Molecule: transfer RNA, 109 nt
Filed under: Candidatus Burkholderia verschuerenii
Lineage: Bacteria; Pseudomonadati; Pseudomonadota; Betaproteobacteria; Burkholderiales; Burkholderiaceae
Description: tRNA-Ala
Source: RNAcentral
GCACGAUUCGCGCAUCGAACCCGCAUGACGAUGGCGAUCGAUCUCGUCACGCAUUUAUGCAACCGCUACGGAACCGUGGUCGAUUUCGGCGCGGGACCGGGAUUGUUUC